AGUGAACGCUGGCGGUAGGCCUAACACAUGCAAGUCGAACGGCAGCACAGUAAGCGCUUGCUCUUACUGUUGGCGAGUGGCGGACGGGUGAGGAAUACAUCGGAAUCUACUUUUUCGUGGGGGAUAACGUAGGGAAACUUCCGCUACUACCGCAUACGACCUACGGGUGAAAGCAGGGGAUCUUCGGACCUUGCGCGAUUGAAUGAGCCGAUGUCGGAUUAGCUAGUUGGCGGGGUAAAGGCCCACCAAGGCGACGAUCCGUAGCUGGUCUGAGAGGAUGAUCAGCCACACUGGAACUGAGACACGGUCCAGACUCCUACGGGAGGCAGCAGUGGGGAAUAUUGGACAAUGGGCGCAAGCCUGAUCCAGCCAUACCGCGUGGGUGAAGAAGGCCUUCGGGUUGUAAAGCCCUUUUGUUGGGAAAGAAAAGCAGCAUGUUAAUACCCCGCUGUUCUGACGGUACCCAAAGAAUAAGCACCGGCUAACUUCGUG
Molecule: ribosomal RNA, 492 nt
Filed under: uncultured bacterium
Lineage: Bacteria
Description: partial 16S ribosomal RNA
Rfam family: Bacterial small subunit ribosomal RNA
Source: RNAcentral